Molecule: long non-coding RNA, 997 nt
Organism: Quercus lobata
Lineage: Eukaryota; Viridiplantae; Streptophyta; Magnoliopsida; Fagales; Fagaceae
Exons: 5
Source: RefSeq, a predicted model, not a curated record
GUAUAAAAAGAAACUAACCACUUAAAACAAAAUAAAAAAGAAAGAGAGAGUGGUACACGGAGAAAGGAGAGAGAUAUGAGGUGCAUCGAAGACCCUAACACACAGUGAGACCGAGAGCGAGAGCGAGAGCAAGAGAUCCCAACAAUGGCGACACAUUUCAAGGAGAAAGGAGAGAAACCCGUAACUAGUCUCUCUUCUCAGAAACCCAAAAAUCAAAACCAAAUCCUUCCCCCAAGAUCAAAAUCCAAAACUUAGAUGAGAAAGAAGUAAGCGAUCAGAGGUGCCAUUCUCACGCAAUCUCCGAUUCUCUCAUACAAUGGCGACCGAUUCAUCAGACCAACUCAACUUCAACCCUACCACUACUACAGAAGAAAACCCAAAACAAACCCUAGACAACGACAUUGUACUAAGAGAGUUUGGUUGCAUAAAAGAACAGGUGGAGGGCGAAAAGAGUUGGAAUUUGUCAUGUUUGUAGGUGAAAAGGCAAAUCCUUGGAAGCAAUCUGAGUAAAAACAGUACUACCAGGAUUGAAACAGUUCAGGGCUAUUAUGUGAUUAAUUUUACAAUCUGCAUACUAUGUUAUCAACCACAUCUAUGCUGCUGGAUGCCACUUCUCUCUGUACAACAAUCUGUCACUAAACAGGUAACUAUCGAUUGUCAUUCACAUGGGCAACAAAGCUCUACAUCAACUUUGACAUUGACAUUCCAAAAGUCACAAAGGAAAUUAAGCCCAAAGGACCUCCUAAAGGGCUGGAUGGAUAACUUUCUUCCAUCAUAGAAAAAUAGUUGCUAAAAUAGAAGACUUGGAAGCAUAAAAAAUGCUUAAGAAUUAUGCACCAAGUUCUAUUCUCCGUACCCUUUUCUUAUUUACUUAAUUUUCUGUUUUAUUUCAGAUUAUGAGAGAUUUAAUUUUCUGUAUUUAGGCUAUGGUUUUGUAAUCUGAGCAUCCUAAGACUCUUAUAUCAACAUGAAUUUAAGUUUUUUAAUAUAUGUGAUU